Molecule: ribosomal RNA, 502 nt
Filed under: uncultured bacterium
Lineage: Bacteria
Description: partial 16S ribosomal RNA
Rfam family: Bacterial small subunit ribosomal RNA
Source: RNAcentral
AGCGAACGCUGGCGGCGUGCCUAACACAUGCAAGUCGAACGUGAAAGGGAGCAAUCCCAAGUAAAGUGGCGUACGGGUGAGUAACACGUAGGUAAUCUACCCCAGAAUCUGGAAUAACCGGCCGUAAGGCUGGCUAAUACUGGAUAGAGCGACGGAAUCCGUAAUUGGGUUUUUCGGGAAAGGGAGCCUGUAAAAAGGCCUUCGUUCUGGGAUGAGCCUGCGUCCCAUCAGCUAGUUGGUGAGGUAAAAGCUUACCAAGGCAAUGACGGGUAGCUGGUCUGAGAGGACGAUCAGCCACACUGGAACUGAAACACGGUCCAGACUCCUACGGGAGGCAGCAGUGGGGAAUCUUGCGCAAUGGACGAAAGUCUGACGCAGCAACGCCGCGUGAGUGAAGAAGGCCUUCGGGUUGUAAAGCUCUGUCGAGUGGGACGAAAAUGCUUGGAGUUCACAGCUCCAGGAACUGACGGUACCACUAAAGGAAGCACCGGCUAACUCCGUG